GCCAUGCAAUCUAGGCCAACGUUGAUUUGAAAGACUGCCACUACAAUGUUGAUUUAGGCCACGGGAAAUGAAUCUAUUGGACUGCUGCAUUUGAGAUUAAGCUGCUGGUAGAUUCUUUAAUUGCACAACCGCGUUAUGGGUUGAAUCUCCUUUAGGGAAACACUGCUUGAGUUGUUGUUAGGCAAAUGGAUUGGGCUGCUGGCAUGGGCUGGUUUUAGUGGAACGACACCGUUUGGAGAAGCUUGGUAGCUGCUACCUUUGCAAAUGGGCAGAGAGCUCGUUCAUUAUGGGAUUUUUCCCCAAUUCCCUCAACCCUCAACCUAUAAGGUUCUUGCGAAAAGAAAAGAAGCAGAGUAGAACCAGGCACGGGCUCAAUGGUUGAUUUGAGAGCUGAUAGAGGAAGAAGCCCAAAAGGAUGUUUGGCCCAAAAGCUAAUCGGACCAGAAGGAUGAUCGGAAGCGGUCGACGGUUGAAGAGCAAAGUGAUUCAGAGUUAGUUGGAGUUGACUCUCGAAGCUUCUAAGUUUGUUUUCAGUUCUUCCCCCUUUUCCCCUUUCCCCCUUUUUUUCUUUUCUGUUUUGGAUUUUCCCCUAUAAAAAGGGAAGUUUUGUAAUGAAUAGUACGUGCACUGGGUGACAGACGGUGUACUUAGGGUAGAAAUGGGUAGUGGGUGACAAACGCCACUUUUUCCAAAUUCUUGCCUUUAGUCUUAGACUUUAUCAGCUUUUCAUAGAGGUAGAACUCUGUUCUUUUCAAUGGAACUCGAAGAUGAUCACAUUGGGAGACAGGCUUUGCAGUUUUCUUUGAUUUCUGGGAUGUCGGUGAAGUCAAGGCAUUAGACUCGGUCGAUCAUCUUCAAUAUCAUGAAUAACAUAAGGAUGAGCUACCUUAUUGUUUUGUCUCUACAAAGUUAGCAUCUCCAAGCUGAUUGUACAGGUGUGCAAGUGCAACAACUCCCCAUUCAUAUCUGUCACAUGAUGCAGAUCUCUAAAGACAAUUAAGUAGGACACACGAACGUAAGUGGCACUCAUAUUCACGAAAAUUGUGCAUCCAACAAGAUGCAACAAAUAGGCUUGUAUUACAUACUCAUACUAUUGGUUCACACGACAGUCAUUAUAUACGUCUCUCAACAAACUCGAUCUUAUGUGAGGACCACGAGAUUACCUAAUCUCAAGCGUAGCCCUCGUUCAGUCCACUCCUAAACUAAAUUUCGAAAUCUG
Molecule: small RNA, 1219 nt
Filed under: Vigna angularis var. angularis
Lineage: Eukaryota; Viridiplantae; Streptophyta; Magnoliopsida; Fabales; Fabaceae
Description: Non-protein coding transcript
Source: RNAcentral